This 4129-nucleotide long non-coding RNA is filed under the name Androctonus crassicauda. The record is from RNAcentral. Lineage: Eukaryota; Metazoa; Arthropoda; Arachnida; Scorpiones; Buthidae.
CCUAUUUUUUCGUAUCAUCGUUAUUAUUUUUUAAACAAUUUCUUAGUGAUUUCUUUCUCGGUAUUUAAACUGUUCUUUUAUUUUUCUCUUCCGUGGAUGCCGUGUACUUUGGAAGCUUAUUUAGACCGAGUCGAUGACCUUUUAGAUUUUCUCCACGUGAAUAGGAUUUCACUUUUUAAAUAAUAAAAAUUACCCGUCAUAGAGGACAUCGGGAUUUUAGAGAUGUCUAAGUGAGGCAUGGUCGGAAAAGGUUGGGAACCACUGCGUUAAUGGGUGCGGAGAGAAGUUAAAUUUGAAUGGGGCAGCCGUAAGUAAUAGCAUUUUUAAAGAGAACCACUCGGACAAAAUUCCCGGGAACCGCUUCCAAUUUAUGCUUUAAACUCUCCGGACCCGAGCGAAAUGGCGUAAAUGUCGGGUCUAACCGUCAGUUUACAUAAACCAAUGGUUGAAAGGGUAUUUUCGAUACGUGUAAUUAAGAAACUCCUGGAAAUAUCCGCCAGGCGUAGAUGGAAUUUACCACCACCAUUCCCGAUUUUGCCGGAUAGCCCGCCUUAGAUAUCAGUCCACGGCCAACCGUAAACGGGACUACUAACGGUCUAUCCCAUCCGGCCAGAUUUAGAUGGUCCAAUCGUUAAAAUAAAGCCCGCGGCCCACAUAGUCGGUGGUCGGAGAGGAGCCUGUAAAAAUUUCAACACGGUGGACCUACAUUAAUAUCCGCCUAUUUUUCGGCCCUUGAGCGGAACCGCGGCUACUCCGCUAUACGUCGCACCAAAAAGUAUUCAACGGACGGCGGCGCCCCUUCCUCCUGAAGAAUGAUCGGCUGGCCAUUAAAACCCCGCCAACGGUCCGUUCCACCCGUCCUGCCCGACGGAGGGCCACCGGUUCCCGACUUACUAGAGUACAAACCGGGAGGGAAAGGCCGACCCCUCCCAGUCCACCUUCCCUUCUCCAGAAAAAUUGGCUAAACGAGACCGAAUAUUAACCGAUAGAAUUCCCUGGCCGAGAACACUGGGGUGGGUAAAAUUCCUAGGGUGGAAAGAGUGGUUCCAUUUGGGUCCGUCUCUUUUCCUUCUUUAACGUAAAUAUGGGUGACGGUACGGUCCGUUGCCCAGACGGGUCCGAAACUAGGCCACUGCGAAAUUUUAAUCGGCGGGGCACCUUCUGCCCCGGUAAGAAAAAGUAGAAUUUCCGCCGGUGGGGACACUAAAACGCCGAUUUGUCUAUGGCAGCGGUUUAUCCGAAAAUAUUCUGCAAAGACGGGCUAACCGGUGGAAGCGUCCACCCCCGGCUCUAGGUGCCGUCAUCGGCCAGAAAGACGGGACCCAGCCGUUCCGGGGUGGUGGCCAUUCUCCGGACCGACCGCCAUGGCAAAUGGCUAGCCUGGGGUGGUGGGCCCGAAGAAACCGUGGGCGGCCGACUUAACCGUGGCCGAAUUUUAAGCCACCAUUUCUUACGGUGUAGUACGGUUUGACCUACCGUGCUCUAGCUAGGAUAAAUAAACCCCGAGAAAUUUGUUACGUCAUAUAGGCCCUAAUAACUUUUAAAGUCCUAGCUAAUGGAGCUACCGGCCGGUAGCCCGGGGAAUUUACAGAAUUCUCCGUGGAAAGUUUCGGAAAAUUUGUAGGCGGCAGCCCGUCCAAACUGGGCCCCAGGUUGGUAGGUUAAAGCCCGGGUUCUCGGUCUAUCUGUGUCCGGACCGGGUAAGGCGCAAAACUUCGUCUAGCUCGGCUGGGGUUAUGACUUUUAUGCCGCCACCGAAAUUUUGGCGCUACUAACUUUGGUGACAUUUCGAAAAUUAACUAAACCGGAUAUACCUCACCGGCCUAAUUAUCGACCGUUUCUCUCCUUACCGUAAAUAGCGGACGGAGACCCGCGGGCCCGGGCCAAACCACGGUCGGGAUAAUAGGGUAGGCUACUAAGGCGGGCGGAUAUUUAUUUUUCCCCAUCCCCUUGGACUAAAUAGGAUGGUGGUGUCCAGACUUUAAAUAUAAAUUCCACUAGCCGCAUCCUCCGCUGACCAGAGAAAACAUUUUCUGCGUCGCCUUCCACCAACGCCAUUCUAUGGCGGCCCCACCCGUACCGCUUUCCCAGUUUGCGCUAAAAUAUAGACGCCGAUAACGUUACUUAGCGGGCUGGCCCAGACGGGAAUUUUAUCCAUAACCAAAUUUAUUUUUUAGUAACUAAUUAGGUUUCGAUGGAGAACGGUGAGGAGGGGAGACGGGACGGAUUUACGCCUUAGAUAGGACCGACGGGGCCAGAAUGGCCCGGGCUAACUCGUUCGUUUAUUCGUCCACUUCAGUUAGGCGUCUAUUUAUCGAGAACACCGGAGCCAAAAACAGACCCGUUUCCCAUUUUCCGACGGACCGCUACGAAAACAACACCGUUGGGUUAAUUUUGUGAUCGGGUGGGAAUUUCCCUAUUUAUGUAUUUCCCAUAUAUAUUGUAAGUUUCGGCUGCUAACGCUCCCACUGGCCUAGUCUCGGUACUUGGGUCUGCCAGUUCCCUCUCUCCUCACCCUUCCGUCCUCUUCUAUUUUCCGUUCUCUCACCGGAUACCCGGUAAAACGGCUAGUAAAAUUCUUCGGGCCGGCCCCAGGCCCGGGGUGGGAGGGUCGAUAUCGACCGCCGUUAAGGGUAUUGGCCCGCGGCUAAAUGAUGGUCGGAGAGAAAAGAGAGGAGACGGAAUCCGGCCCCGGCCUAGCCCACCGUUAAAUUGGGCGGGAAUAAUUAGGAAAGGGAGGCCGAAAUUAGAGUCAGUGUCGGUAGAAGAAGGGAUCGGAACUGGCCGUUGACGGAGGCGGGCCCCCCAGGUCCGUUAACCGAAAGGCCCGUAAGUUGGUAAAAGGGACACCGACCUUGGCUCCGGAAAUUCAGCCAGCCCACCGGCUGAUAAGAAACGUUUGCCGGCCGAGGCGGUUCGGACGUUUAUAACGUCGUCUGUCUAAUCACUGGUACCGACCUUGGCCGUCGAUUUAUCCAAUUCGGCCCAACUUUUCCAGACAUUGUGCAUGCCUCCGAAGGCUUUCUUUAAAACGGAGAGGUGCUACGUAUGGCAUCGGCCGCUUCCGUUCUUCCAAAAGAAGACCACCACACCCGAGCUCCGGCAGGGUAGUAAAUAAGCGGACAUCGGGCCCAAAAUAUUUGGAAAUUUCUCUGGAAAGAAGCGGAAAAACCCAGCUUGUUAAAUAUAUAAAUAAAAGCGUAUAUAGAAAGUCUUUUCGGCCAUCCUCACCGGAGAAGGGCCUACUUUCCUGCCCUUCUUCGGUAGAAUGUCCGUUACCGAAAACGUUUCCGAGUUGCGAAAGUUUUCCGACUACUUUUAGUCGGAAAACUUCUCGGCAACGCCAAACCUCGUCCGCUCCGCUCGGAAAGAACUUUCCACAAGAAUUCGGAAAGAAACGAAAUAACCGGUCGACUAUUCAAGUUUUUUCGUAUUGGCCUUAUCCGGUAGUUGGUCGAGACGUCUUCCGCUUCACCCGCCCUGGUCCGGAUUUUAGCUCACCUUCUAGUCGGUACGGCCUGGGUCACUCCUGCCCAGUCCCUUUUACCCGCCACCCAAUCGGCUCCCUGGCGGAGAAGAGAAAGGGCCUUCCCUUUCUCGGUGGCACCCCGGCCCCUCCACCUAGCCCACAGACCCCGGCGGGAAGUGGACGCCCUAAUCGGCUCUGGCGCUUCCACUGGUUAAACUCGAAUUCCUGGGCUCUCCCCACCCCCAUUAAGUAAAUAAAUGCCAGAAUCGAAGACUAAUAAACACCUGGCCCGGUGGACGUCGGGGUCCGACCGAUGGCUGCUGCGCCAAUAAGCGUUAUCCGAGCGUCCCCGCCAUUUACGACCUAUUAAAACUGUGUUUUAUGGCGUCCUUCCCGCUCCUAAAUCCAGUCGGACAUUCGUCGACAACUUGUUCCUCCCCUAGCUCUUCUUCUCCUAUAAACGCUAGGGUAGGCCCGACCGACCUCCCGGCCCUCUCUGGUCCUCCGGUACCUCCGGAGGGAGUCUUCCCCCGCCGGAUCCCCGGCUGGCGCUCCCUUUUUCCUAACGGCGCGCACAUUCACCUAUUUUCUUUUUUCUUUGUUGGUAGACGUCAAGCUCUGCUCCUCAGCCAGCAACAACCUCUGCCUCCGGCCGCCCCU